UUAAUUACGCUUUGCAUUGUGGGUACAAGAAGCUCAGUCGACAAUCGGCGCGAUACCAGUGCUUUCGCAGGCGCCAUUAUUCACGGAGAUAGUCUCGGUCAAAAUCUCAUUUUAAAGUCGGAUUUAGGAUUUUGAGAAUGGUUCCUACACUUCCUUUGUAAAUAAUUUUUUGUUAAAUGUAACAAACUGUAUCGUUAACUUAGUUGCUGCCUGGCUUGUUUGGCAAAUGAAUGUCGGAGCCGUCGCAUUCAACAUUUUCAGCAUACCGUCACAUCUUAACGUUACUCGACGUGGAGGGACGUGUUACAGUGCUCACUUUUAGUUUUAUAAAUAAAGGUUUAUUAACUUUUAUUGUUGUUGAUGCGGUGUAACGUGUUUAUUAAUGAGCUUGUCGUAAAGCAUCAGGCAUAUUAAUGUUUCUGAGGUGAUAUUGAGCAGCUGUGAUCACGUUAAAUCUGAAGUGUGGUACAACUCUGUUUAGAGAGCUUUGUGCCUUCAACAGGAGCUGAAGAAGACAACAUUAACGAUACGACUUUUUAUUUUAAAGAGAUUAUACGACUAUGUGAAGAUCUGACGUCACAGAGUUCUUCAAGGAUAACACACAUUUUCUGCCAAACGAGGUCAUAAUUGCUGCUGUACUUUGCAUCCCAAGCACCCCCUGCAUUCUUAUCAUGGAUUGCUGUCAUACAAGUUACCAUUUCCACCCCCAUUGUGGCCGAGCUACACAUUCUCUUUGUUUUAUUUUAAACCUAAAACAUCCGGAGGAGAAUGGCACCUACGCUGGAAUUCAUUCAAAUUCUUCCUGUGAAGAAAUCCUGAAUGAGCGUCAAAGGUUCAGAUGAAGGGAAUCUACGCUUCCAAGACUCAUGUAUGAACUACUUCUAGAUUCC
Molecule: long non-coding RNA, 890 nt
Organism: Carassius carassius (crucian carp)
Lineage: Eukaryota; Metazoa; Chordata; Actinopteri; Cypriniformes; Cyprinidae
Exons: 4
Source: RefSeq, a predicted model, not a curated record